Molecule: ribosomal RNA, 301 nt
Filed under: uncultured bacterium
Lineage: Bacteria
Description: partial 16S ribosomal RNA
Rfam family: Bacterial small subunit ribosomal RNA
Source: RNAcentral
CAGUCGCCGCGGGAAAACGAAGGGGGCUAGCGUUACUCGGAAUUACUGGGCGUAAAGGGCGCGUAGGCGGCACGAUUAGUCAGGCGUGAAAUUCCUGGGCUCAACCUGGGGACUGCGCUUGAUACGGUCGAGCUAGAGGAUGGAAGAGGGUCGUGGAAUUCCCAGUGUAGAGGUGAAAUUCGUAGAUAUUGGGAAGAACACCGGUGGCGAAGGCGGCGACCUGGUCCAUUACUGACGCUGAGGCGCGGCAGCGUGGGGAGCAAACAGGAUUAGAUACCCCCGUAGUCCCUGUCUCUUAUAC